CCCUUAGACGCUCUAGGCGGCACGCGCGCUGCAAUGGGUGGUAGAACGUGUAACUGCUCCCGAAAGGGAGGGUGAACCACGAAUACUUACCCGUGAAUGGGAUAGUUUGUUGCAAUUUUCGGACUUGAACUAGGAAUCCCUUGUAAGAAUGCUCAAGAAUAGCGUGCUGAAUACGUCCCUGCCGUUUGUACACACCGCCCGUCGUUUCUUCCGACUGAUACUCAUUGUGAGUUGCAAGGAUUCUUAUUGAAAAAUUGCUGCGAAUGCUUUGUAUUGGAGGAAGAAAAAGUCGUAACA
This 297-nucleotide ribosomal RNA is filed under the name uncultured eukaryote. Its description in RNAcentral is "partial 18S ribosomal RNA". It matches the Rfam family "Eukaryotic small subunit ribosomal RNA", at positions 1470 to 1796 of the family's 1831-position model. The record is from RNAcentral.